GAUGAACGCUGGCGGCGUGCUUAACACAUGCAAGUCGAGCGAAGCAUCUUGAAGUUUUCGGACGGAGAGGUGACUGAGCGGCGGACGGGUGAGUAACGCGUGGGUAACCUGCCUCACACAGGGGGAUGACAGUCAGAAAUGACUGCUAAUACCGCAUAAGCGCACAGUACCGCAUGGUACGGUGUGAAAAACUCCGGUGGUGUGAGAUGGACCCGCGUCUGAUUAGGUAGUUGGUGGGGUAACGGCCUACCAAGCCGACGAUCAGUAGCCGACCUGAGAGGUUGAACGGCCACAUUGGGACUGAGACACGGCCCAGACUCCUACGGGAGCAGCAGUGGGGAUAUUGCACAAUGGGGGAAACCCUGAUGCAGCGACGCCGCGUGGAGGAAG
This 390-nucleotide ribosomal RNA is filed under the name uncultured bacterium. RNAcentral describes it as "bacterial SSU rRNA". It matches the Rfam family "Bacterial small subunit ribosomal RNA", at positions 28 to 410 of the family's 1533-position model. The record is from RNAcentral.